GCUCACCUAGCUCAGUUGGUAGAGCACUUCCUUGGUAAGGAAGAGGUCGCCGGUUCAAAUCCGGUGGUGAGCUCCA
RNAcentral lists this transfer RNA (76 nucleotides) under Gammaproteobacteria bacterium. Its description in RNAcentral is "tRNA-Thr". It matches the Rfam family "tRNA". Rfam says of the family: Transfer RNA (tRNA) molecules are approximately 80 nucleotides in length. Their secondary structure includes four short double-helical elements and three loops (D, anti-codon, and T loops). The record is from RNAcentral. Lineage: Bacteria; Pseudomonadati; Pseudomonadota; Gammaproteobacteria. RNAcentral also lists the same sequence under 9 other names.